CCAAGGUCAAAGGUCAUCUGAGGUCAAGUUGUACAAUAGGCUGAAAAUGUAAAAUUGGUCUCAUUUGAAAAAUUGAAGUCCAAUUGAAACCAAACUUUGGUCAUAGUUGCGACAUGGCAACUUUCAUACUGAUUAGUUUUCUUCAAUAAAAUGAAGUGUGUGAAUAUAUGUGGCUUUUGAAAUUUUCGAUUGAAGGGUAGGGCAAUGCGCUAGUGUUCACUAGAUGUUCAAGCGAUGUUCACUGCAGUUUACUUAAUUGAAAAAUAUCAGCCCGUUGUCUUUGAAAGUACUUUGACACACCUGUGUGCUUUAUAUUAUCGAGAUGGCUAUUUUUACAGAAGCCAUGACGCGUUUUUCAACAGCCAUAGUUACAGAAUCACAACAUAACACGGCAAAUCUAUAUCAGGUCUUAAUUUUUCUACAGUGUUUGAAGGGCUUUGUUAGCUCCAGAACUUAAACGAUCAUUUUGAAUGCCAAAGGUAGUGAGUUCGAAUCCCGGAGACCUUGUUUUUGUUAAAUUAGUUCCCAAAGUGUUUUCUUACUUUGAUUGGUUUUAGUCAAAUCCUACUUUUGAUUGAAGUAGAACUAGUUUUCUCUUUCUUUCUGAUUCGUUGGACACAGUUUGAUAACGUGUUUCCAUGAGAAGUUUCAGGUGUUAUCUGAGGUAGAACGUACCGUACAUGUAUUUCAGUUUUAAACUUGAGAAAAACAAAACAGCCUUGAAGUUAAUCUACACUUACUUCAUGAACUACACAGGGUAUUCAAGUAUUAUAACUCAGGCCAGACAUUGUAACUGAAGAACAGACAUCUAACCCUUUUGUGAUGAGGCGAUAGGAUGUAGGCAAUUAAAAUAAAAACACUUACAGAAGCGUACUUUACAGUAAUCAAGUAACGUUUUCCUUAACCCUAACUCCCAUCUUAGUGUAACUAAGUAGGGAAGACAGUGUCUGUCAGAAUCCAUCACUCAUGCUGCUUCACAUAAUGCUUCAGGACCAAAUCCAUUGAAAUCCACCACUGGUGCUGGUGGAUUUUGAUGGACUUGGUACGCAUGGUAUCUGCCAACAUUUCCCCAAAUAGGGGAAUGGAUUUUGAUGGAGUUGGUAUUAAAGGUUAGGGUUAAACUAAGUCCACAAGUGUAGAGGGUGAUUACGUUAAAAUAAGACAAGAAGUUAGUAUACAAGGGGGGGGGGGGGGUGUUGAUAUGUAUUUUGUGCAGGAACAUACAGUCCGUGUUAACAAAUACUUUAUGUAAAUCAAAAAAAUAAAUGAGCAUUUUGUUUUUAAACAAUUUUUGGGUGUGAAUAAGACAACACUGGAACACUGGCCUAAACUAGCUUGGUCAUAGCGUCACCGUCACCACAAAUUGACACUGUGCGCAUGAGUGCGCCGCACUCGCGCGUAUUUACAGAACUGGAAUAUUUUAGGUUUCACGAACUGACAUCCUCCACAGUGCGGCACUUGUAGAGCGCACCCCGUACAUUUUCAGUUUCACGAACAGACAUUGAUCUUAAUUUUACCAAUUAAAACGCUUUCGAAUUAAAAUUUUGUAUAAUCACACGAGUACACGGAUGGAUUAAAUUCGUGUCAAACCUUUCAAACCGUUUUUCUCCGUUGUGUAUUGCCACAUCAUGCCUGGGUGUCAGUUCGCUAGACCGAAAAUGUUGAUUACGUUGUUUUUUUUCGAACUGACGCCCCUUUGUGCGUGAGUGUCAGUUCGUUGUGUCGGUAACAAUGGAUACCACUUGGACAUGAUUUUCAUUUUAAUGAAAUGAAAAAAAAGGUAUUUUAGGGUUACCUGUAGCACCCCCAUGCUCAAAAAUUUUCGAUUAUCUGCAGAUAAAUCUGCGGAAUUCCUUCCUUUUAGGACGGAAAGUAGUCAAUGUUUUGUUCUCCUUGCCAUUAUGUGUGUGUACACAUGUAUUUUUUCAGGUUCAGUAACAAAUCGUGUCAGUGUUCCGUUGCAUAAUGUACAAAAAUGUACAUAUGUAGUGUGUGUAACGUAAAUUAUUGUCGAUGUGCAAUCUUUAAUGUAUUCAGUGAUGUUUCCUGAUUUUUUGUUUUGUUUAACGUCUCAAUUUUAUUUCCUUCUCCCAUUUUCUCAUUUUAGAAAAAAAUAUUGAGAAAAAAUUUGAGAAAAAAUAUUCAAACAAAAUUUGAUAAAAUUUACCAAAAAUUCUUAAAUCUGAAUUAAAUCACAGAUUGAGGAAAAAAGCCAUUGAUCAUGUUAUUGUUUUAUUGAUAUAAAAUUGAAAAUAUAUAAGAGAUGUAAAUUUGUAUAUGUUUUGAGCAAUACACCUGUACACACUAAUAUUUUGUGAAGUACUUUUAUUGUAACAACGUGCGAACUAUCAGCUACAUGUAGUGUAGUCUUAUUUGAACAGUGUAGUUGUGCUGCUUGAUAAGGCCAAAUAAAAAA
RNAcentral lists this long non-coding RNA (2416 nucleotides) under Patiria miniata (bat star). RNAcentral describes it as "uncharacterized LOC119725865". Lineage: Eukaryota; Metazoa; Echinodermata; Asteroidea; Valvatida; Asterinidae. The record is from RNAcentral.